RNAcentral lists this transfer RNA (72 nucleotides) under Sphaerobolus stellatus SS14. Its description in RNAcentral is "tRNA-Glu (TTC) (tRNA-Glu-TTC-4-1)". It matches the Rfam family "tRNA". From Rfam's summary of the family: Transfer RNA (tRNA) molecules are approximately 80 nucleotides in length. Lineage: Eukaryota; Fungi; Basidiomycota; Agaricomycetes; Geastrales; Sphaerobolaceae. The record is from RNAcentral.
UCCACGCUGGUGUAAUGGCUAACAUCGCUGUCUUUCACACAGCAGCUCGGGGUUCGAUUCCCCGGCGUGGAA